GGAAUAUUGGGCAAUGCCCGAAAGGGUGACCCAGCAACGCCGCGUGGAGGAUGAAUGUCGUAAGAUUGUAAACUCCUGUUAGAGGGGAAGAAUAAUUCCGAUCAAAUCGGAACUUGACUGUACCCUCAGAGAAAGCCCCGGCUAACUACGUUCCAGCAGCCGCGGUAAUACGUAGGGGGCAAGCGUUGUCCGGAUUUACUGGGUGUAAAGGGCGCGCAGGUGGGUUUGUAAGUCAGAGGUGAAAUCUCACGGCUUAACCGUGAAAGUGCCUUUGAUACUGUAAAUCUUGAGUACGGAAGAGAGAGACGGAAUUCCAGGUGUAGUGGUGAAAUACGUAGAUAUCUGGAAGAACACCAGUUGCGAAGGCGGUCUCUUGGUCCGAUACUGACGCUCAGGCGCGAAAGCGUGGGUAGCAAA
Molecule: ribosomal RNA, 417 nt
Filed under: uncultured bacterium
Lineage: Bacteria
Description: bacterial SSU rRNA
Rfam family: Bacterial small subunit ribosomal RNA
Source: RNAcentral